GAUGAACGCUGGCGGCGUGCCUAAUACAUGCAAGUCGAGCGAACGGACGAGAAGUUUGCUUCUCUGAUGUUAGCGGCGGACGGGUGAGUAACACGUGGAUAACCUACCUAUAAGACUGGGAUAACUUCGGGAAACCGGAGCUAAUACCGGAUAAUAUUUUGAACCGCAUGGUUCAAAAGUGAAAGACGGUCUUGCUGUCACUUAUAGAUGGAUCCGCGCUGCAUUAGCUAGUUGGUAAGGUAACGGCUUACCAAGGCAACGAUGCAUAGCCGACCUGAGAGGGUGAUCGGCCACACUGGAACUGAGACACGGUCCAGACUCCUACGGGAGGCAGCAGUAGGGAAUCUUCCGCAAUGGGCGAAAGCCUGACGGAGCAACGCCGCGUGAGUGAUGAAGGUCUUCGGAUCGUAAAACUCUGUUAUUAGGGAAGAACAUAUGUGUAAGUAACUGUGCACAUCUUGACGGGACCUAAUCAGAAAGCCACGGCUAACUACGU
Molecule: ribosomal RNA, 496 nt
Filed under: uncultured bacterium
Lineage: Bacteria
Description: partial 16S ribosomal RNA
Rfam family: Bacterial small subunit ribosomal RNA
Source: RNAcentral